RNAcentral lists this ribosomal RNA (253 nucleotides) under uncultured bacterium. RNAcentral describes it as "partial 16S ribosomal RNA". It matches the Rfam family "Bacterial small subunit ribosomal RNA", at positions 524 to 776 of the family's 1533-position model. The record is from RNAcentral.
UAAGGAGGGUGCAAGCGUUAUCCGCAAUUACUGGGUUUAAAGGGUGCGUAGGCUGUUAAUUUAGUCAGAGGGGAAAGGUAAUUGCUUAAUGAUUUUUUUGCCUUUGUUUCUGGGUAACUUGAAAGGAUAUGAGGCUUGCGGAAUUUGAUAUGUUGCGGUAAAAUGUGUAGAUAUAUCAUAGAACAUCAAUUGCGAAGGCAGCUGACUAAUCUUUCUUUGAUGCUGAGACUAGAAGGCGGGGUUAGCAAUCUGG